UCGAGUUCGUCCGAGUGGACGGGAAGC
Molecule: small RNA, 27 nt
Filed under: Bombyx mori (domestic silkworm)
Lineage: Eukaryota; Metazoa; Arthropoda; Insecta; Lepidoptera; Bombycidae
Description: ovarian small RNA-28416
Source: RNAcentral